GCAGCUGUGGCUCAGUGGGAAGAGUAGUUGUCUUGCAUUCAGAAAGUUGUGAGUUUGAUUCAUUGUUCCUCCCCUGCUACA
Molecule: non-coding RNA, 81 nt
Organism: Ataeniobius toweri
Lineage: Eukaryota; Metazoa; Chordata; Actinopteri; Cyprinodontiformes; Goodeidae
Source: the annotation of a GenBank genome assembly